GGCGGAACACGUGAAAUUCCGUCGGAAGCUGGGAGGACCAUCUCCCAAGGCUAAAUACUCCCUAGUGACCGAUAGUGAACCAGUACCGUGAGGGAAAGGUGAAAAGCACCCCGGAAGGGGAGUGAAAGAGAACCUGAAACCGUGUGCCUACAAGUAGUCAGAGCCCGUUAAUGGGUGAUGGCGUGCCUUUUGUAGAAUGAACCGGCGAGUUACGAUCCCAUGCAAGGUUAAGUUGAAGAGACGGAGCCGUAGCGAAAGCGAGUCUGAAUAGGGCGUUUAGUAUGUGGUUGUAGACCCGAAACCAGGUGAUCUACCCAUGUCCAGGGUGAAGUUCAGGUAACACUGAAUGGAGGCCCGAACCCACGCACGUUGAAAAGUGCGGGGAUGAGGUGUGGGUAGCGGAGAAAUUCCAAUCGAACCUGGAGAUAGCUGGUUCUCUCCGAAAUAGCUUUAGGGCUAGCCUCACGUUGUGAGAGUCUUGGAGGUAGAGCACUGAUUGGACUAGGGGCCCCCAACGGGUUACCGAAUUCAGUCAAACUCCGAAUGCCAAAGACUUAUCCGUGGGAGUCAGACUGCGAGUGAUAAGAUCCGUAGUCAAAAGGGAAACAGCCCAGACCACCAGCUAAGGUCCCCAAGUAUACGUUAAGUGGAAAAGGAUGUGGAGUUGCUUAGACAACCAGGAUGUUGGCUUAGAAGCAGCCACCAUUUAAAGAGUGCGUAAUAGCUCACUGGUCGAGUGACUCUGCGCCGAAAAUGUACCGGGGCUAAACGUAUCACCGAAGCUGUGGAUUGACAUCUUAGAUGUCAGUGGUAGGAGAGCGUUCUAAGUGCUGCGAAGCUAGACCGUAAGGACUGGUGGAGCGCUUAGAAGUGAGAAUGCCGGUAUGAGUAGCGAAAGACAAGUGAGAAUCUUGUCCACCGAAUGCCUAAGGUUUCCUGAGGAAGGCUCGUCCGCUCAGGGUUAGUCGGGACCUAAGCCGAGGCUGAAAAGCGUAGGCGAUGGCCAACAGGUUGAUAUUCCUGUACCACCUCCCCGCCGUUUGAGUAAUGGGGGGACGCAGGAGGAUAGAGUAAGCGCGCUGCUGGAUAUGCGCGUUCAAGCAGUUAGGCUGAUGAGUAGGCAAAUCCGCUCAUCAUAAGGCUGAGCUGUGAUGACGAGGGAAAUAUAGUACCGAAGUUCUUGAUUCCACACUGCCAAGAAAAGCCUCUAGCGAGGCGGGAGGUGCCCGUACCGCAAACCGACACAGGUAGGCGAGGAGAGAAUCCUAAGGUGAUCGAGAGAACUCUCGUUAAGGAACUCGGCAAAAUGACCCCGUAACUUCGGGAGAAGGGGUGCUCUGGUAGGGUGUAUAGCCCGAGAGAGCCGCAGUGAAUAGGCCCAGGCGACUGUUUAGCAAAAACACAGGUCUCUGCGAAGCCGCAAGGCGAAGUAUAGGGGCUGACGCCUGCCCGGUGCUGGAAGGUUAAGAGGAGGGGUUAUCCUUUGGGAGAAGCUCUGAAUCGAAGCCCCAGUAAACGGCGGCCGUAACUAUAACGGUCCUAAGGUAGCGAAAUUCCUUGUCGGGUAAGUUCCGACCCGCACGAAAGGCGUAACGAUCUGGGCACUGUCUCAACGAGAGACUCGGUGAAAUUAUAGUACCUGUGAAGAUGCAGGUUACCCGCGACAGGACGGAAAGACCCCGUGGAGCUUUACUGUAGCCUGAUAUUGAAUUUUGGUACAGCUUGUACAGGAUAGGUAGGAGCCUGAGAAGCCGGAGCGCUAGCUUCGGUGGAGGCGUCGGUGGGAUACUACCCUGGUUGUAUUGAAAUUCUAACCCACAGCCCUGAUCGGGCUGGGAGACAGUGUCAGGUGGGCAGUUUGACUGGGGCGGUCGCCUCCUAAAGAGUAACGGAGGCGCCCAAAGGUUCCCUCAGAAUGGUUGGAAAUCAUUCGUAGAGUGUAAAGGCACAAGGGAGCUUGACUGCGAGACCUACAAGUCGAGCAGGGACGAAAGUCGGGCUUAGUGAUCCGGUGGUUCCGCAUGGAAGGGCCAUCGCUCAACGGAUAAAAGCUACCCCGGGGAUAACAGGCUUAUC
Molecule: ribosomal RNA, 2076 nt
Filed under: Priestia flexa
Lineage: Bacteria; Bacillati; Bacillota; Bacilli; Caryophanales; Bacillaceae
Description: Bacillus flexus partial 23S ribosomal RNA
Rfam family: Bacterial large subunit ribosomal RNA
Source: RNAcentral